AGUGAACGCUGGCGGUAGGCCUAACACAUGCAAGUCGAACGGCAGCACAGUAAGAGCUUGCUCUUACGGGUGGCGAGUGGCGGACGGGUGAGGAAUACAUCGGAAUCUACUUUUUCGUGGGGGAUAACGUAGGGAAACUUACGCUAAUACCGCAUACGACCUACGGGUGAAAGCAGGGGAUCUUCGGACCUUGCGCGAUUGAAUGAGCCGAUGUCGGAUUAGCUAGUUGGCGGGGUAAAGGCCCACCAAGGCGACGAUCCGUAGCUGGUCUGAGAGGAUGAUUCGCCCACCUGGAACUGAGACAAGGUCCAGACUCCUACGGGAGGCAGCAGUGGGGAAUAUUGGACAAUGGGCGCAAGCCUGAUCCAGCCAUACCGCGUGGGUGAAGAAGGCCUUCGGGUUGUAAAGCCCUUUUGUUGGGAAAGAAAAGCAGCAGGUUAAUACCCCGCUGUUCUGACGGUACCCAAAGAAUAAGCACCGGCUAACUUCGUG
RNAcentral lists this ribosomal RNA (492 nucleotides) under uncultured bacterium. RNAcentral describes it as "partial 16S ribosomal RNA". It matches the Rfam family "Bacterial small subunit ribosomal RNA", at positions 29 to 507 of the family's 1533-position model. The record is from RNAcentral.